RNA transcript from Mirounga angustirostris (Northern elephant seal), 5534 nucleotides. It is a transcript of the gene named heterogeneous nuclear ribonucleoprotein A1-like, with no coding region annotated. The transcript has a single exon. The record is from RefSeq and is a predicted model, not a curated record. NCBI's taxonomy places the organism in Eukaryota, Metazoa, Chordata, Mammalia, Carnivora, Phocidae.
AAUUUUCAUUCUAUGUUACUUCAGAAUAUGUUAAACAAUCAAUUAUAAAUCAGCUUUCUGCCCUUAUGUUAAAAAAUUGUGUAAGUACGAUAAUUAGCAAAUUUUCUUUUUUUUUAAAGUUUGUUUAUUUAUUAUUCAAAUAAUCUCUACACCCAGUGUGGGGCUCAAACUCAUGAGCUCUUGAUCAAGAGCUGCAACAAGAUCUGAGCCUUUAAACAGGUUCUUGUGGUCUCUUAAGAUUUUAAGCUGCUUUGGUCAGGUGUUCAGGUUAUUGAUUAUCUACAUAAAACUCUAAAUAUUCAGGGCACCUGGGUGGCUCAGUCGGUUGUGUGUCUGCCUUUGUCUUGGGUUAUGAUCCCAGGGUCCUGGGAUCGAGUCCUGCAUUGGGCUCCCUGCUCAGUGGGGAGUCUGCUUCUCCCUCUCCUCCUGCCCCUCCCUACCACUCAUGCCUCUCCCUCUCUCUCUCAAAUAAAUAAAAACUUAAAAAAAAAACUAUUCCACAAGCUCUACAGCACAUGUACAGACAAGUGACACCUUACUUGAAGGAGUAAUGGAUUUGGCCAGUAAAGAUUCACAGUUGACUUACUUACAAUUGUUUAAGCAAGCAUCUUCCUCUUUUAAGUUUUUAAGUAGGAUCUAAUAUUCAAAGCCAAAACUCAGACUACAAAAAUUCGUAUACUAUAUUGUUCAAAGAGUUUUAUGAGUAAAAGGGUAGAAAGCUGGGUUUUAUUAAACAACUAUACUUCUAACAAUUUUUAGUAUUUGCAUAGUAUGUGAUUAUGGUUGAGAUAAAUACCAUCAUCAGAUAUCUUUCAGCAAUAAUUAAUUGUUUCCUCCAGUGACCACUCACUGAUGGUCAAAUUCAAACUAAUUUAGUGUGUAUUUCCAAUAUUCUGACAAGUGAAUUUACGUUCUUCAUAGAAAGUGAAUCUUUUCUGAAGCUCUCACAAAAUGUAAUCACUUCUUAUCUCUCAUAGAUAUGCUGGCUGGGUAUGAUUUUUUAGGUCUUUCUCAGAGUAAUAAACACUUUAGCUAAUUACAGCUUUUAGGAAAAGCUUUUUUUUUUUUUUUUAAGAUUUUAUUUAUUUAUUUGACAGAGAGAGACACAGCAAGAGAGGGAACACAAAUAGGGGGAGUGGGAUCAUGACCUGAGCCGAAGUCAGACACUUAACCGACUAAGCCACCCAGGCGCCCCUCUAAUUCAUAUAUCUGAUAAGGAUUUAAUAAGCAGAAUAUAUUUUUUUAAAAUUCUUACAAUUCAAUGACAAAAAGACAACUGAAUUUUAAAAUAGACAAAGGACUUGAAUAAAUAGCCGUUUCCCCAAAAAGGAUAUAUGAAUGGCCAGCAAGUACAUGAAAAGAAGUUCAACAUCAUUGAUCAUAAAGGAAAUGCAAAUUAAAACCACUAUGAGAUACCACUUCACAACUACUAGGAUGUUGUAAUCAAAAAUACAGAAAAUUACAUGUCCUACAUAGAAAUGUGUAGAAAGAAAGAAGAUCUAAUAAAUAGAGGAAUAUACUACGUUCAUAGGUUGGAAACUUUGUCUUGCAAAGAUGUCAGUUCUUUCACAAUUGAUCUAUAAAUUCUAUAUACAACCUCAGUUAAAAUCCCAACAGAUUUUUUGUGGAAAGUGACUACCUCAUAAAAUUUAUAUGGAAGUGCAGAGGAUCAAGAAUAGCCAAGACUUGGGGCGCCUGGGUGGCUCAGUCGUUAAGUGUCUGCCUUCGGCUCAGGUCAUGAUCCCAGGGUCCUGGGAUCGAGCCCCGCAUCGGGCUUCCUGCUUGGCGGGAAGCCUGCUUCUCCCUCUCCCACUCCCCCUGCUGGUGUUCCCUCUCUCGCUGUGUCUCUCUCUGUCAAAUAAAUAAAUAAAAUCUUUAAAAAAAAAAAAGAAUAGCCAAGAUAGCUUUUAUGCCCGUGGACGCUGCCGAGUAAGCAUUGUUAAAGUCUCCCCUCCCACCGCCAUCAUGUCUAAGUCAGAGUCUCCCAAAGAGCCUGAACAGCUGCGGAAAGAUUUUUGUUGGUGGCAUUAAAGAAGAUACUGACGAACAUCAUCUAAGAGAUUAUUUUGAACAGUAUGGGAAAAUUGAAGUGAUCGAAAUCAUGACUGACCGAGGCAGUGGCAAAAAGAGAGGUUUUGCUUUUGUAACAUUUGAUGACCAUGACUCUGUAGACAAGACUGUCAUUCAAAAAUACCAUACUGUGAAUGGCCACAACUGUGAAGUAAGGAAAGCCCUAUCUAAGCAAGAGAUGGCUAGUGCUUCAUCCAGCCAAAGAGGUCAAAGUGGUUCUGGAAACUUUGGUGGUGGUCGUGGAGGUGGUUUUGGUGGGAAUGACAACUUUGGUCAUGGAGGGAACUUCAGUGGUCGAGGUGGCUUUGGUGGCAUUCGAGGUGGUGAUGGAUAUCGUGGCAGUGGGGAUGGCUGUAACUGAUUUGGUAAUGAUGGAAGCAACUUUGGGGGUGGCAGAAGCUAUAAUGAUUUUGGCAAUUACAACAGUCAAUCCUCAAAUUUUGGACCCAUGAAAGGAGGAAAUUUUGGAGGCAGAAGCUCUGGCCCCUGUGGUGGUGGAGGCCAGUACUUUGCCAAACCACGAAACCAAGGUGGCUGUGGUGGUUCCAGCAGCAGCAGUAGCUACGGCAGUGGCAGAAGGUUUUAAUCACUGCCAGGAAACAAAGCUUAGCAGGAGAGGAGAGCCAGAGAAGUGACAGGGAAGCUAUAGGUUACAACAGAUUUGUGAACUCAGCCAAGCACAGUGGUGGCAGGGCCGAGCUGCUACAAAGAAGACCUGUUUUAGACAAUACUCAUGUGUAUGGGCAAAAAACUCGAGGACUAUAUUUGUGACUAAUUGUAUAACAGGUUAUUUUUGUUUCUGUUCUGUGGAAAGUGUAAAGCAUUCCAACAAAGGGUUUUAAUGUAGAUUUUUUUUUUGCAGCCAUGCUCUUGAUUGCUAAAUGUAAUAGUCUGAUCAUGAUGCUGAAUAAAUGUGUCUUUAAAAAAAAAAAGAAUAGCCAAGACAGUAGUUAAGAGCAGAGCUUGAGGACUUACUACUGCCAGACACAUACUUGUUACAAAGCCCCAGUAUUUAAAACAAAGUGCUAUUCACCUAGCACCCAGAAUUUGGUUUCUAAAUACUCUUCUCCAAUAAAAGGAACCAAGAUUCUUUUGAAAAAGUGGUUAAUUCCACAACUGGGGCAUAGGAAAUACAAGAUGAGCCUGGAACACCUUUUGGUGCCAGUAAGCAAGGAUGUGCAUGGAAAAGGAUGAGGGCAUAUUGAAAGGACACAGGCGUCAACGUGAUGGAGCUUCUGAAGGCCAACCCUAAAUCAGUUUGAGCAACAAAACAAAUGAUCAUACUGAAUUAUAACCCAUAGACUAAAAUAUCCACAAAUUAAUACUGAUAUAAAUAAAUAAGAACGGACAACUCUUCCAUACAGAAGAAUUCCAAUUAAUGUACAAGGAAUUAGAAAACUACAAAACCACCACCAUGUAGCCACUACAGUAAUUGUUGCAAGCAAGAUGGGUGCUAAAAUCAGUGGGCAAAAGUUUGAGAAAAAAACAGGUAUUUGCAUAGUUUCAACAUCUCUUCCCCAAGAUAUUGAUCAGUCACAAAGAGGGAAAUAGUACCUUUUACAGUGGAGAGACCUGGUAGACACCUCCAUAACCUAAUGAUCAUUGGUUAAUGUGUCAAAUUGAAAGUCAAGGGAAAACUAAAGAAUUGUCAGAGAUUGGAAGAGGCUAAGGAGACAUAAAUAGAUGCAAGGUAGGAUCUUGGAUUGGAUAAUAGAACAGGAAAAGGACAAUAAUGAAAAAAAAGUGAAAUUCAAACAAUGUUUAAUAUUAUGACAAUAUUAAUAAUAUCAGUGUUAAUUUCCUGGGUUUGAUCACUGUACAAUGGUUUUGUAAGAUGUGAACAUUGGUAAAUCUGAGAGGAAAUUUAUGUGAACUCUACUUUUUGCAGCUUUUCUUUUUGCAGCUAUUCUGAGAAAUUAUUUCAGAUAAAAGUUAAGAGAAAAAACUAAUGUGGGGCUGCUUGGGUGGCUCAGUCAUAACGCGUCUGCCUUCAGCUCAGGUCGUGAUCCCAGAGUCCUGGGAUCAAGUCCUGCAUUGGACUCCUUGCUCAGUGGGGAGCCUGCUUCUCCCUCUCUGCCUGCCAUUCCCCCUCUGCCUGCCACUCCCCCUCCUUGUGCUCGCUCUCUCUCAUAAAUAAAUAAAAUCUUAAAAAAAAAUAAUGUGGUAAUGACAUCAGGUGCAUUCAUUUCCCAGGGCUGCUAUAACAAAGUACCACAAACCAAGUGGCUUAAAAAUAACAGAACCCUAAUCUCACAGUUCUGGAGGUUAGAAGUUUGAAAUCAAGGUGUCAGCAGGUCCAUGCUCCUUCUGAAGGCUCUAGGGGAGAAUCCUUGCCUCUUCCCUAGUUCCUGGUAGUUACCAGAAAUCUUUGAUGUUCUUUGGCUUGUACCUGCAUGAUUUCAGUCUGUUUCUGUCUUCACCUGGCCUUCUUCUACACCAGUCAUAUUGGAUUUAAUAUGACCUCAUUUUAACUAAAUAAUCUACAAAGUCUCUAUUUCCAAAUAGGGUUGCAUUCUGAGGUUCCAGCAGACAUAAAGUUUUUAGACUAUUCAACCAAGUAUACAGGAAUAGGCAAAUAGACCAAUGGAAUAGAACAGAACUCUAGAAACAGACCCACAUAUUGGAUCUGACUUAUGACAGAUGUGCCACUGCCAUGCAAUAGGGAAAAUAGGGUCUUUUGAAUAAAUGAAUCAAAUGAAAAUCUGCAUGUGGAUAGAAAGAAUCUUGACCCCUUCCUCACAUCAUAUAUAAAGACUAAUUUCAGAUGGAUCAUAAGUAAUUUUGGCUGGAUACCUAAAUGUAACAGGUAAAAUAACAAAUUGUUUUCACAAUACACACAAGAGAAUAUCUUCCUGAUCGGGGUGUAGGCAAAGAUUUCUUUAACUGGAUGCAAAAAGAACUUGACAUUAUUGGGAAGAGUUUAUAAAUUGGACUUAAUUUAAAUUAAAAGCUUCUGUUCAUCAAAAGAUACCAUCAAGGGGCUCCUGGGUGGCUCAGUCGUUAAGCAUCUGCCUUCGGCUCAGGUCAUGAUCCCAGGGUCCUGGGAUCAAGCCCCGCGUCGGGCUCCCUGCUCCGCGGGAAGCCUGCUUCUCCCUCUCCCAUUCCCCCUGCUUGUAUUCCCUCUCUCGCUGUGUCUCUCUCUGUCAAAUAAAUAAAUAAAAUCUUUAAAAAAAAAAAAAAAGAUACCAUCAAGAGAAUGAAAACACAAGCCAUAGAGUGGGAGAUAAUUGCAGUACAUAGACCCAAGAGAGGACUUGCGUCUGAAAUAUAUAAAGAACUCCUACAAAUCAAUAAGAAAAAGGUAACUCAUUUUUUAAAGACUCAAACAGGCAUUUUUCUUAUUUUUUUUUAAAGAUUUUAUUUAUUUGACAGACACAUCGAGAGAGGGAACACAAGCAGGGGGAGUGGGAGAGGGAGAAGCAGGCCUCCCACAGAGCAGGGAGCCCAAUGUGGGGCUUGAUCCC